GAUUUAUACGAUAAGCCAAAAGUGGAAGGUACGAAUCACAACAAAGCUUUGGUUCAUUGGUUUAUUUAUUCAGCAUCUCUAACAAUGUUUUUAUGAUUUUCGUUUGGUUCCGAAACUACGAACAUGACUUAUCUGAGAAUAAGAUCCAAUGCUUCCAUGGCUUAGGGUUUGCACUGAGGAUGUGUCUUUUACAAAUCAUCUUUCUCCCGAGAAAGAUGGAGUUGGCUCAAGUAAAAACAAGCACUGGGAUGGCGAUGUUGGAUGGUUUGAGGUUGAGAAACAUUUUGAGAUUCUUACGAAUUCGAGGGAGGAUGGUUUGCUUCAUCGCCGGUAUAUUAUUAGCUUGGUAUAACUUUUACCAGAACCUUCGCCGGUAUGUGUG
Long non-coding RNA from Vicia villosa (hairy vetch), 382 nucleotides. RefSeq lists it as uncharacterized. The record is from RefSeq and is a predicted model, not a curated record. The transcript is spliced from 3 exons. Lineage: Eukaryota; Viridiplantae; Streptophyta; Magnoliopsida; Fabales; Fabaceae.